UUUGCUUAUGUGGUGAGAGACAAAGACACAAGGAUUCUGAAAUGCCAUGUGUUUCGAUGUGACACACCAGCAAAAGCCAUUGCCACAAGUCUCCACGAAAUCUGUUCCAAGAUUAUGGCUGAGAGGAAGAACGCCAAAGCCUUGGCCUGUAGCUCUUUAUAGGAGAGGACCAAUAUGAGUCUUGAUGUCCUUUUGCAAGUAGACUUUCCAACACCAAAGACGGAGCUGGUGCAGAAGUUCCACAUGCAGUACCUGGGCACGUUACCUGUAGACAGACCUGUCAGCAUGGACACCCUGAACAGUGCCAUAGAAAAUCUUAUGACGUCAUCCAGCAAGGAGGACUGGCCUUCAGUGAACAUGAAUGUGGCAGAUGCCACUGUGACAGUUAUCAGUGAAAAGAAUGAAGAGGAAGUCUUGGUGAAGUGUCGAGUGCAGUUUCUGUCCUUCAUGGGCAUCGGGAAGGACGUCCAUACAUUUGCCUUCAUCAUGGACACUGGGAACCAGCGCUUUGAGUGCCAUGUGUUCUGGUGUGAGCUGAAUGCAGCCAAUGUGUCAGAAGCUGUCCAGGCUGCCUGCAUGUUGCAGUAUCAGAAGUGCUUGGUAGCCAGGCCACCUUCGCAGAAAGUCCGGCCCCCGCCCCCACCAGCGGAUUCAGUGACCCGAAGAGUCACGACCAAUGUGAAACGAUGGGUCUUCUCUCUCAUUGACACUUUGAAACAGAAGCGGCCUGUCACAGAUAACGCCCUAGCAGCCUGGAACUCAGGGAGUCUGUCACUGUUACCUGAGGAUCAAGUAGCUACACGAAAAAAGCCGACACCUGGCCUUCCCACUCAGUUGCUGAUGCUUUGUCUCCAGAGAAUUUAUCUUUAA
This is an RNA transcript of Mastomys coucha (southern multimammate mouse), 870 nucleotides long. It is a transcript of the gene named amyloid-beta A4 precursor protein-binding family B member 2 pseudogene, with no coding region annotated. The transcript has a single exon. Lineage: Eukaryota; Metazoa; Chordata; Mammalia; Rodentia; Muridae. The record is from RefSeq and is a predicted model, not a curated record.